AUGCAAGUGCAGGCGGCCGCUACCAUACGGCUUUGUCUUGCGGACCAGGUCAUGUAUCAUGUCAUGGACGAAAAUACUCCUAAGGGAAUUUGGGACAAGUUGGCAAAUCGUUAUAUGUCCAAGUCAGCGACCAAUAAGUUGUAUUUGAAGCAAAAGUUCUAUGGGCUGAAGAUGCAGGAGGGGUCGGAUCUUGUGGAGCAUGUGAACACCUUUAAUCAAUUGGUCACGGAUCUAGCGCGUCUGGAUGUGAAGAUUGAGGAUGAGGAUAAGGCACUACUUCUUCUUGUUUCAUUGCCACCGUCCUAUGAGCAUUUGGUCAUUACAUUGACACAUGGAAAGACAACCAUCAAUAAUGAGGAAGUUACUGGAGCGUUACUCGGACAUGAGUUGAUGAAGCAAAAGAAUGCUGCAGAAAGGGAGAGUACUCAAGGUUUGGGGUUGGCAGUUAAAGGUUAUCAGCUCAGGAAGGGACAAGAGGCGGAGUAG
RNAcentral lists this ribosomal RNA (486 nucleotides) under Triticum aestivum (bread wheat). RNAcentral describes it as "partial small subunit ribosomal RNA". The record is from RNAcentral. Lineage: Eukaryota; Viridiplantae; Streptophyta; Magnoliopsida; Poales; Poaceae.